GAUGUCUGAAAGUAUCAAGGUUAUUGUCUCUCUCUUUCUUGUGGUGUUAUUGGCUCUUGCAGCAACCCAGACAGAGUCAAGAUACAUAAAUUAUCAUGCCCUUCAUGGAGAUCACAGUUUAAUUUGUGAUAAAGCGCACCCAAACACCUGCGAGAAGGAAGAAGCCAAUCCUUAUACUAGAGGAUGCGAGACAAUCGAUCGUUGUCGUGGUCAAUCUCUAGGCCCAAAAAUGUGAAUCGACCAAGUAGAGUACACCACCCUUGGUUAAUUUUACAAAUGAUAUCUCCAUAUUAAUAUCAGAUGAUUAAUUUCAUUCAUUAUUUAUUUAUAAUCUGUAUUGGUUUGUAACUGAUUGUUACCCUAUCAUUUAUGAUAUAAAACAAAUAUAUUUAUGUUAUCUUUUUAUUUUUGAAUAUAUGUUUAAUUUAUUCAAAAGAAAACAAACUUUUUUACCCAAGUGCCACUAAGUUUUGUAAACAAUUAUCCACAAGCUUAAACCAGCUGCGUUCUUGAACUCUCUCGUUUGAUAAAAGGAGAGACACCGAUUGCGAACAAGUUUCUCCAAAGAUUUGGCAAGAGAUGUCACUGUCGUAAGAGCUGCUCCUUGUCUUCUAUCGUUACGUUCUUUCCAUAGUACAUGAACUGAAGCUUGUAAUACAUACCGUGUGAGAAAACGUUGGAGAAAACUGUGUCUUUUAUCUAAGGAACAUAAUCCUCCUGUUUUCUGAUAUUCUCCCAUGUUCUUUUAGUACUGAAAACUGGUUUGUAUUUUUCCUCCUUGUAUUUCCAGUGAGAUUGAUCCUCCACAACUGAAAUUUAUCCCUUUAAGCAUCUAUAAGUGUUUCCACCUCAUUAAAACGAUCAACUCGAUGCCUUCGUCUUCUUCGAUUAGCAACAGCCUUUGCGACAGUGAAUUUUAAAGGAAUUCCUAUGUAAAGCUAUUCCCGCGCCAUUGGAAUUUAAAGGAUUUGGAUAUAGUUUAAUUGUUGAUUUUAAAUGAUAUCUCAAUUAUUUGGGCGAUUGUAACUAUUUAUUGUUGUUUUGAAUAUUUAUAUAUAUAUAUAUAUAUUAAAAUAUUAUUUAUUUAUUUUAAAAUUAGUUAAAUAAAAACUUAUACCCCCAGUUAAAUAAAAACUAGCUCUACCACUGAUUGAACCUUGCAAGCUAGAUAUGUGUUGGAUCUUUUUUCGGAUAUAGCUUCUAUCCGAACAUCAGUCAUGUCAUCUUCCUCAUCGCUAGGGGUAUAUUUAGAAAGAGAAAAAUGAAAUAUAGGGUUUGGACCCCCAUUUUUAAAGGCUCACUUUUAAAAGGUUAUGUAGUUAAUUUUUUAAAAAACAUUUUACCAUUUCAUGUAAAGGAAAGAAGUGCAAACCAAGAAUGAAAAAAUGAUAAUAAUAAUAAAACAUAACUAAAGUAGGAGCUACAAUUAACAUAAAAAAGAAAAAAUAUUAUAUUUACAUAGACUUUUUAACUUUGUCUUUUCCUCUUUCUCCAUGACUCUUAAGCUUUUUCUCGUCUGUAAUAUUUGGGUUAGGCAUGGGCAUUCGAGGUUCCAAUCGGGUUUCGGUUUUGUCCAAUCAGAUCUCGGGUUUUCGGGUUUAUCAAAAUCAGUCUCAUUCGGGUUAUACAAAAAUUCGGUUCGGGACCAGUUCGGGUUCGGAUCGGGGUUAGUAAAUCUUCAAAGAACCGGUACAACCCGAUGUACUUUCGGGUUUGAGUCCCAAUCGGUUCUUUGGUUUAAAAGUACAUAAUUUGUAUUUACUUUGUAACCAAAACAUAAGUAAAAUCAGUUUUUCGGUUUUAAAAUACCUGAUUUAUAUCUAUUUUGUAACCAAAACAUAAGUUAAAUCGAUUCAAAAAUAAGAAAAGAACAUCAAACGCGAUCAUUCAAAAUUAAACGAAAGGUAAUGAUAGAAAGAAAACCAAAUAAAAUAAAGCAUAAAACAAAAACUAAGUUCUCAUGAAAUGAAAAAUAUUAUUCAAUGAAAACAAAACCAAAAUCUAAGAACUUCAAGCUUCAACCACCAACUUCAACCAUCAACAUUUAUGUAAUAUAUAAUUACUUUAGAUGUUCAAUAAUUUCUUAGUGUGUUCUGAAUACUAAAGAUUUAAGAUUAUGUUUGAUACAAGCUAUUUUGGGAGAUUUUGAAUUUUUUGGGUUCUAUCGAGUAUCCAUAUAGGUUCGGGUUCGGUUCGGAUAACACUCAUAACCCAAAAUACCACAAAACAAGAUCCAAUCGGUAUUUACGUCGUGUCGUGUCGGAUCGGUUCAGAUUCAUUUUUAUCGAAUCGGGUUCGAUUUAUUUGCCCAGCUCUAAUUUGGGUAGGCCCCCAUUUUUUCUUGCUUAUGGCCUCAUUUAUUGCCGAGAUCCCCCUACUCACCGCCUUCCGGAACGCCUUUAAAAGUUGUUUUGCGACCUUUAAUCUUGAACAAGGAAAGCAAAUUAUAUCUGUCAUUGCUAAAGAUCCCUUAAUUUUAAGAAAACAUCAACCAGCUGAUCUAUAUACUAAAAGUAUCUGUUUACUAAAAAUUACAUGUUUACUAAUUAAUCACCAUCCCAAAAAUAACUAUUUGAAGUACAUCCACUAUCUUCUAUAUAAGUACCAAUAACCUCUUCUUCAAAACCAAACAGAGCCGAUACCAAAUACAAUUAAAUAUAUAAACACAAAAUAAUUGAGCUCCUAGUCGGGGUUUCUCUUAUAAACUAUUUAUUUAUUUAAUUUGGUUGGAAAAUAAAAAUAAAUAGUAUGGGGAUGUCUGAAAGUAUCAAGGUUAUUGUCUCUCUCUUUCUUGUGGUGUUAUUGGCUCUUGCAGCAACCCAGACAGAGUCAAGAUACAUAAAUUAUCAUGCCCUUCAUGGAGAUCACAGUUUGAUUUGUGAUAAAGCGCACCCAAACACCUGCAAGAAGGAAGAAGCCAAUCCUUAUACCAGAGGAUGCGAGACAAUCGAUCGUUGUCGUGGUCAAUCUCUAGGCCCAAAAAUGUGAAUCGACCAAGUAGCGUACCACCCUUGGUUAAUUUUACAAAUGAUAUCUCCAUAUUAAUAUCAGAUGAUUAAUUUCAUUCAUUAUUUAUUUAUAAUCUGUAUUGGUUUGUAACUGAUUGUUACCCUAUCAUUUAUGAUAUAAAACAAAUAUAUUUAUGUUAUCUUUUUAUUUUUGAAUAUAUGUUUAAUUUAUUCAAAAGAAAACAAACUUUUUUACCCAAGUGCCACUAAGUUUUGUAAACAAUUAUCCACAAGCUUAAACCAGCUACGUUCUUGAACUCUCUCGUUUGAUAAAAGGAGAGACACCGAUUGCGAACAAGUUUCUCCAAAGAUUUGGCAAGAGAUGUCACUGUCGUAAGAGCUGCUCCUUGUCUUCUAUCGUUACGUUCUUUCCAUAGUACAUGAACUGAAGCUUGUAAUACAUACCGUGUGAGAAAACGUUGGAGAAAACUGUGUCUUUUAUCUAAGGAACAUAAUCCUCCUGUUUUCUGAUAUUCUCCCAUGUUCUUUUAGUACUGAAAACUGGUUUGUAUUUUUCCUCCUUGUAUUUCCAGUGAGAUUGAUCCUCCACAACUGAAAUUUAUCCCUUUAAGCAUCUAUAAGUGUUUCCACCUCAUUAAAACGAUCAACUCGAUGCCUUCGUCUUCUUCGAUUAGCAACAGCCUUUGCGACAGUGAAUUUUAAAGGAAUUCCUAUGUAAAGCUAUUCCCGCGCCAUUGGAAUUUAAAGGAUUUGGAUAUAGUUUAAUUGUUGAUUUUAAAUGAUAUCUCAAUUAUUUGGGCGAUUGUAACUAUUUAUUGUUGUUUUGAAUAUUUAUAUAUAUAUAUAUUAAAAUAUUAUUUAUUUAUUUUAAAAUUAGUUAAAUAAAAACUUAUACCCCCAGUUAAAUAAAAACUAGCUCUACCACUGAUUGAACCUUGCAAGCUAGAUAUGUGUUGGAUCUUUUUUCGGAUAUAGCUUCUAUCCGAACAUCAGUCAUGUCAUCUUCCUAAUCGCUAGGGGUAUAUUUAGAAAGAGAAAAAUGAAAUAUAGGGCUUGGACCCCCAUUUUUAAAGGCUCACUUUUAAAAGGUUAUGUAGUUAAUUUUUUAAAAAACAUUUUACCAUUUCAUGUAAAGGAAAGAAGUGCAAACCAAGAAUGAAAAAAUGAUAAUAAUAAUAAAACAUAACUAAAGUAGGAGCUACAAUUAACAUAAAAAAGAAAAAAAUAUUAUUUACAUAGACUUUUUAACUUUGUCUUUUCCUCUUUCUCCAUGACUCUUAAGCUUUUUCUCGUCUGUAAUAUUUGGGUUAGGCAUGGACAUUCGAGGUCCCAAUCGGGUUUCGGUUUUGUCCAAUCAGAUCUCGGGUUUUCGGGUUUAUCAAAAUCAGUCUCAUUCGGGUUAUACAAAAAUUCGGUUCGGGACCAGUUCGGGUUCGGGUUCGGGUCGGGGUUAGUAAAUCUUCAAAGAACCGGUACAACCCGAUGUACUUUCGGGUUUGAGUCCCAAUCGGUUCUUUGGUUUAAAAGUACAUAAUUUGUAUUUACUUUGUAACCAAAACAUAAGUAAAAUCAUUUCUUCGGUUUUAAAAUACCUGAUUUAUAUCUAUUUUGUAACCAAAACAUAAGUUAAAUCGAUUCAAAAAUAAGAAAAGAACAUCAAACGCGAUCAUUCAAAAUUAAACGAAAGGUAAUGAUAGAAAGAAAACCAAAUAAAAUAAAGCAUAAAACAAAAACUAAGUUCUCAUGAAAUGAAAAAUAUUAUUCAAUGAAAACAAAACCAAAAUCUAAGAACUUCAAGCUUCAACCACCAACUUCAACCAUCAACAUUAAUGUAAUAUAUAAUUACUUUAGAUGUUCAAUAAUUUCUUAGUGUGUUCUGAAUACUAAAGAUUUAAGAUCAUGUUUGAUACAAGCUAUUUUGGGAGAUUUUGAAUUUUUUGGGUUCUAUCGAGUAUCCAUAUAGGUUCGGGUUCGGUUCGGAUAACACUCAUAACCCAAAAUACCACAAAACAAGAUCCAAUCGGUAUUUACGUCGUGUCGGAUCGGUUCGGAUUCAUUUUUAUCGAAUCGGGUUCGAUUUAUUUGCCCAGCUCUAAUUUGGGUAGGCCCCCAUUUUUUCUUGCUUAUGGCCUCAUUUAUUGCCGAGAUCCCCCUACUCACCGCCUUCCGGAACGCCUUUAAAAGUUGUUUUGCGACCUUUAAUCUUGAACAAGGAAAGCAAAUUAUAUCUGUCAUUGCUAAAGAUCCCUUAAUUUUAAGAAAACAUCAACCAGCUGAUCUAUAUACUAAAAGUAUCUGUUUACUAAAAAUUACAUGUUUACUAAUUAAUCACCAUCCCAAAAAUAACUAUUUGAAGUACAUCCAUUAUCUUCUAUAUAAGUACCAAUAACCUCUUCUUCAAAACCAAACAGAGCCGAUACCAAAUACAAUUAAAUAUAUAAACACAAAAUAAUUGAGCUCCUAGUCGGGGUUUCUCUUAUAAACUAUUUAUUUAUUUAAUUUGUUUGGAAAAUAAAAAUAAAUAGUAUGGGGAUGUCUGAAAGUAUCAAGGUUAUUGUCUCUCUCUUUCUUGUGGUGUUAUUGGCUCUUGCAGCAACCCAGACAGAGUCAAGAUACAUAAAUUAUCAUGCCCUUCAUGGAGAUCACAGUUUGAUUUGUGAUAAAGCGCACCCAAACACCUGCAAGAAGGAAGAAGCCAAUCCUUAUACCAGAGGAUGCGAGACAAUCGAUUGUUGUCGUGGUCAAUCUCUAGGCCCAAAAAUGUGAAUCGACCAAGUAGCGUACCACCCUUGGUUAAUUUUACAAAUGAUAUCUCCAUAUUAAUAUCAGAUGAUUAAUUUCAUUCAUUAUUUAUUUAUAAUCUGUAUUGGUUUGUAACUGAUUGUUACCCUAUCAUUUAUGAUAUAAAACAAAUAUAUUUAUGUUAUCUUUUUA
Molecule: long non-coding RNA, 5903 nt
Filed under: Brassica rapa (field mustard)
Lineage: Eukaryota; Viridiplantae; Streptophyta; Magnoliopsida; Brassicales; Brassicaceae
Description: long non-coding RNA (BRAP_LNC006478)
Source: RNAcentral